Molecule: ribosomal RNA, 881 nt
Filed under: uncultured bacterium
Lineage: Bacteria
Description: bacterial SSU rRNA
Rfam family: Bacterial small subunit ribosomal RNA
Source: RNAcentral
GAGUUUGAUCCUGGCUCAGGAUGAACGCUAGCGGGAGGCUUAACACAUGCAAGUCGAGGGGCAGCAUAGGGUAGCAAUACUCUGAUGGCGACCGGCAAACGGGUGAGUAACGCGUAUGUAACCUACCCUGUACAGGGGGAUAACCCGGAGAAACUCGGACUAAUAUCCCAUAACAAUAUCCGGGGGCAUCUUUGGAUAUUUAAAGUUCCGGCGGUACGGGAUGGGCAUGCGUAACAUUAGCUAGUUGGUAAGGUAACGGCUUACCAAGGCUUUGAUGUUUAGGGGUCCUGAGAGGGUGGUCCCCCACACUGGUACUGAGACACGGACCAGACUCCUACGGGAGGCAGCAGUGAGGAAUAUUGGUCAAUGGGCGCAAGCCUGAACCAGCCAUCCCGCGUGCAGGAAGACGGCGCUAUGCGUUGUAAACUGCUUUUCCAGGGAGAGAAACUUGCGCACGUGUUGCGCAAUUGACGGUACCCUGGGAAUAAGCAUCGGCUAACUCCGUGCCAGCAGCCGCGGUAAUACGGAGGAUGCGAGCGUUAUCCGGAUUCAUUGGGUUUAAAGGGUGCGUAGGCGGACUAUUAAGUCAGUGGUGAAAUCCUGCAGCUUAACUGCAGAACUGCCAUUGAUACUGAUAGCCUUGAGUUUGGUUAAGGUAGGCGGAAUGUGUAAUGUAGCGGUGAAAUGCUUAGAUAUUACACAGAACACCAAUUGCGUAGGCAGCUUACUGAGCCGACACUGACGCUGAGGCACGAAAGCGUGGGGAUCGAACAGGAUUAGAUACCCUGGUAGUCCACGCCGUAAACGAUGAUUACUCGCUGUUGGCGAUACACUGUCAGCGGCUAAGCAAAGCAUAAGUAAUCCACCUGGGGAGUACGGCC